UCGAGAAUCUUCGGCAAUGAGCGCAAGCUUGACCGAGCGACGCCGCGUGCGGGAUGAAGGCCUUCGGGUUGUAAACCGCUUUGGUCCGAGAGAAAGGGCAACUUGAUCGAUCGGAGAAACAAGGACGGGCUAAGUUCGUGCCAGCAGCCGCGGUAAGACGAACCGUCCAAACGUUAUUCGGAAUCACUGGGCUUAAAGGGCGCGUAGGCGGCCGAGCGGGUCGCGGGUGAAAUCCUCCAGCUUAACUGGAGAACUGCCCUCGAUACCACUGCGGCUCGAGGAAGGAAGGGGCAAUCGGAACUGUCGGUGGAGCGGUGAAAUGCGUUGAUAUCGACAGGAACGCCGGUGGCGAAAGCGGAUUGCUGGUCCUUUUCUGACGCUGAUGCGCGAAAGCCAGGGGAGCAAACGG
RNAcentral lists this ribosomal RNA (409 nucleotides) under uncultured Planctomycetaceae bacterium. Its description in RNAcentral is "bacterial SSU rRNA". It matches the Rfam family "Bacterial small subunit ribosomal RNA", at positions 355 to 775 of the family's 1533-position model. Lineage: Bacteria; Pseudomonadati; Planctomycetota; Planctomycetia; Planctomycetales; Planctomycetaceae. The record is from RNAcentral.